RNAcentral lists this ribosomal RNA (669 nucleotides) under Umbilicaria esculenta. RNAcentral describes it as "eukaryotic LSU rRNA". The stretch from base 154 to 307 matches the Rfam family "5.8S ribosomal RNA". The record is from RNAcentral. Lineage: Eukaryota; Fungi; Ascomycota; Lecanoromycetes; Umbilicariales; Umbilicariaceae.
GGGCCCGACCCUCCACCCUUUGUCUACCUUACCUUCGUUGCUUUGGCGGGCCGGCUGGGAAUGACCCACCGCCGGCGUCAGCCGGUGAGCGCCCGCCGGAGGCCACCAAAACUCCGUCUGUCGGUGCUGUCUGAGUACCCCACGAUCGUUAAAAACUUUCAACAACGGAUCUCUUGGUUCUGGCAUCGAUGAAGAACGCAGCGAAAUGCGAUAAGUAAUGUGAAUUGCAGAAUUCAGUGAAUCAUCGAAUCUUUGAACGCACAUUGCGCCCCCUGGUAUUCCGGGGGGCAUGCCUGUUCGAGCGUCAUUACAACCCUCAAGCUCUGCUUGGUAUUGGGCUUUCACCCCUCCCCCGGGGGGGCGUGCCUGAAAGUGAGUGGCGGUGCAGCCUGACUUCAAGCGUAGUAACUUCAAAACCCGCUUCGGAAGCCUUUCAGGUUGGGCCGGCCAGACAGCCCAACAUUUUUUCUAUGGUUGACCUCGGAUCAGGUAGGGAUACCCGCUGAACUUAAGCAUAUCUGAGGGCCGGUGCGUUACUUUCGAGGAAAGGCGAGUUCCGAUUUGGUAGGUGACCUUUGCCGGUUGCAUGCCUUCGUUGCCCGCUGUGCUCCCAAACGCGUUGUGCAGGACGCCUUUUGGCUUUCGACCUGAGGUCAGGCAAGAACACCC